GAUGAACGCUGGCGGCGUGCCUAAUACAUGCAAGUCGAGCGAACAGAUGAGGAGCUUGCUCCUCUGACGUUAGCGGCGGACGGGUGAGUAACACGUGGAUAACCUACCUAUAAGACUGGGAUAACUUCGGGAAACCGGAGCUAAUACCGGAUAAUAUAUUGAACCGCAUGGUUCAAUAGUGAAAGACGGUUUUGCUGUCACUUAUAGAUGGAUCCGCGCCGCAUUAGCUAGUUGGUAAGGUAACGGCUUACCGAGGCAACGAUGCGUAGCCGACCUGAGAGGGUGAUCGGCCACACUGGAACUGAGACACGGUCCAGACUCCUACGGGAGGCAGCAGUAGGGAAUCUUCCGCAAAGGGCGAAAGCCUGACGGAGCAACGCCGCGUGAGUGAUGAAGGUCUUCGGAUCGUAAAACUCUGUUAUUAGGGAAGAACAAAUGUGUAAGUAACUAUGCACGUCUUGACGGUACCUAAUCAGAAAGCCACGGCUAACUACGUG
Molecule: ribosomal RNA, 497 nt
Filed under: uncultured bacterium
Lineage: Bacteria
Description: partial 16S ribosomal RNA
Rfam family: Bacterial small subunit ribosomal RNA
Source: RNAcentral